Molecule: ribosomal RNA, 492 nt
Filed under: uncultured bacterium
Lineage: Bacteria
Description: partial 16S ribosomal RNA
Rfam family: Bacterial small subunit ribosomal RNA
Source: RNAcentral
AGUGAACGCUGGCGGUAGGCCUAACACAUGCAAGUCGAACGGCAGCACAGUAAGAGCUUGCUCUUACGGGUGGCGAGUGGCGGACGGGUGAGGAAUACAUCGGAAUCUACUUUUUCGUGGGGGAUAACGUAGGGAAACUUACGCUAAUACCGCAUACGACCUACGGGUGAAAGCAGGGGAUCUUCGGACCUUGCGCGAUUGAAUGAGCCGAUGUCGGAUUAGCUAGUUGGCGGGGUAAAGGCCCACCAAGGCGACGAUCCGUAGCUGGUCUGAGAGGAUGAUCAGCCACACUGGAACUGAGACACGGUCCAGACUCCUACGGGAGGCGGCAGUGGGGAAUAUUGGACAAUGGGCGCAAGCCUGAUCCAGCCAUACCGCGUGGGUGAAGAAGGCCUUCGGGUUGUAAAGCCCUUUUGUUGGGAAAGAAAAGCAGCAGGUUAAUACCCCGCUGUUCUGACGGUACCCAAAGAGUAAGCACCGGCUAACUUCGUG